Molecule: long non-coding RNA, 434 nt
Filed under: Glycine max (soybean)
Lineage: Eukaryota; Viridiplantae; Streptophyta; Magnoliopsida; Fabales; Fabaceae
Description: long non-coding RNA (GMAX_LNC001099)
Source: RNAcentral
UUGCAUUGCAACAACACUUUGGUUAUUUUAAGGUUAAUUUGUGAACAUAUAUAUAUAUAUAUAUAUAACCGACGACAAGAAACUGUUUGUUAAUUUGAUUAGUGAAAGUGUUUGUUGUUUAUGACACAGAGGGUACUACAGGUGUAGCAGUUCGAAGGGGUGUCCGGCACGGAAACAAGUGGAAAGGAGCUGCGUGGACCCCACGAUGCUAGUCGUCACUUACUCCUCCGACCACAACCAUCCCUGGCCACCUUCUAGAAACCACGCCAGGCCCACCAAAAAACCUGAACCGGUUCCGGACCCGGUCGAACCGGAGGAGAAGUUCGCGGACGAGUCCAUGAUAACAACCGCGGAAGAAUUGGGGUGGCUGGGGGAGAUGGAAGCGACGUCGUCCACGGUUCUCGAAAGCCCGUUUAUGGCUACGACGUACCAUG